This 929-nucleotide long non-coding RNA is filed under the name Mus musculus (house mouse). Its description in RNAcentral is "long non-coding RNA chr2:34608438-34609367". The record is from RNAcentral. Lineage: Eukaryota; Metazoa; Chordata; Mammalia; Rodentia; Muridae.
AAGCCACAAGGCCAUCUCAUAAACAGCAAGGGGUUACAUAAAGCCAUGAGAAUCAGGCGAGAGCAUCAUCAGGGGAUAGUUCAGAGUCCGCCUGCCAUGGUGAGUGAGCCAUAAGACAGCAAUAGAAAUGGCUCAGACUGCAGCCAGUGCUGAGAGCAGAGCCAGCAGCCCCAGCAUAUUCUCCAGCAGCUCUGUAGCUGCAGUCUCAGGGAACAAAGAGCUGCUCAGCAUCUGACUUAAAAUAUCAGACUACUAACCUUGGAAGCCUAGCAAGGGCUAAGCAGGAUAAAUACAAAGAAAACUACAUCAAGUCACAUCAUAAUCAAAUUGCUGAGACCCAGUGAUAAAGAGAAAAGUUUGAAAGCACCGUAAGAAAGCGGCUGUGCACAUCGAAGAACCAUGAUAGGAAUGAUCGCCGACAUCCCGUCAGAACCAAUGCCAGCCAAAAGACAAAGAAGUGGCGGCUCUAACACACUGAAGUAAUAUCUACCCAGAGUCUGCAUUUUCCCAAGUGGUCCUCAGCUGAGGGUAAAGUAAACUAAAGACAUUGCAGACAGCCAGAAAGUGAAGUUUGUCACCACCAAACCAGUGCAAGAAGUGCUGAAGGCUGGGGAGAGAAAACGCGAGGCAGAACCCAGCUCUCCCCAGGGGAGAAGCCUCAAGCUGCUGCCCGUGCCUGGCACCUGCAUAGAAUGAGCCAACUGGAGGGAGGGAGCAAGGCCUUGGGCUGGGGUGGGCAGUGGGAGGGCAGGCUGAGAUAAACAGUUUUUAGGGUGAUGGUUUGAAUUCAUGUUGGGAACAAUAAUUUAACUGGUAGUUAGGUGAAUUAUCUCCCCAAAGGGAAAACCUUCAUCCUUUCUUGCUACAUCCCCUUAAAAGUUGGCCAAGUGUACUUCACUAUUAUAUAUUAAAUUUUGUGAAAAAAAGUG